Molecule: long non-coding RNA, 425 nt
Organism: Stylophora pistillata
Lineage: Eukaryota; Metazoa; Cnidaria; Anthozoa; Scleractinia; Pocilloporidae
Source: RefSeq, a predicted model, not a curated record
GAUGCUAUAACCAGAGAGUGAAGUGUACUUGGAGCCAAAAAAUAUAAUCUGUCCAGACAACAUCAAAAAGGAUGAAGUGUAAGACUGUGCUUGUGUUGGUUACCAUUUCAAUUGUGGUCUUAGGAAUGCAGGAAAGCGAUGCUGCAGUACCUUGGAGCAAUUCGAAUGGAAGAAGCAUUAAGAAAUUAAAGAGCACCACUCACGACAAGGGGCAAAGCUACCGUCGAACUCUGUGUGAGGCUGCACGCUAUCUGGAUUGCGAUUAUCAAGCACAAGCAGACGACUGACGUAGGACACUUGUGAAGUUGACAAGUCACUACAGUCAAGAUACUUUACAAAUUUAUCGGGAAUAAAGCUAUGUAAACGUAUGAGUUAACUGAUCAGAGUUAUAAUAAACCAUUGGGAAACCAUGUGAAUUUUGUCGA